Molecule: ribosomal RNA, 253 nt
Filed under: uncultured bacterium
Lineage: Bacteria
Description: partial 16S ribosomal RNA
Rfam family: Bacterial small subunit ribosomal RNA
Source: RNAcentral
UACGUAGGUGGCAAGCGAUACUCGGAAUCACUCGGCGUAAAGCGCGUGUAGGCGGUCCGGUAAGUCCGCUGUGAAAGUCGGGGGCUCAACCCUCGAAUGCCGGUGGAUACUGUCGGGCUAGAGUGCGGAAGAGGCGAGUGGAAUUCCUGGUGUAGCGGUGAAAUGCGCAGAUAUCAGGAGGAACACCAAUUGCGAAGGCAGCUCGCUGGGACGUUACUGACGCUGAGACGCGAAAGCGUGGGGAGCAAACAGG